GCGCCGCAUCGUCAUCGUCGGUGCAUCAUCAUUGCUAUCGUCCUUGCCUGCUUUGUCGUGGUGUCCGGUGCUGUCGCCGCCAUCGUUGUUUUGACCACACAGCAAGCUGACUUGAAGAAUACAGUGGUAAACAUGAGCUUGGAUACCAACGAAACAUAUUACACAGAAAUGAGCAACAGCUCGUCACCUCAAUAUGCUCAAUUUCAAGACAAAUUCUGCACAGAGAUGAUUGACAUGUUUCGUUCAGGAGAGGCUGGAGAGUGUCACUGGUGCACUGUUGAUAAACUGAGGUAAGAACUCUAGUUAUAAACACCAAGACGAAAAGAAAGCAAU
Long non-coding RNA from Pomacea canaliculata, 333 nucleotides. RefSeq lists it as uncharacterized. The record is from RefSeq and is a predicted model, not a curated record. The transcript has 4 exons. Lineage: Eukaryota; Metazoa; Mollusca; Gastropoda; Architaenioglossa; Ampullariidae.